AGUGAGGAAUAUUGGUCAAUGGGCGCAAGCCUGAACCAGCCAUCCCGCGUGCAGGAAGACGGCCCUAUGGGUUGUAAACUGCUUUUCCAGGGAGAGAAACCUGCGCACGUGUUGCGCAAUUGACGGUACCCUGGGAAUAAGCAUCGGCUAACUCCGUGCCAGCAGCCGCGGUAAUACGGAGGAUGCAAGCGUUAUCCGGAUUCAUUGGGUUUAAAGGGUGCGUAGGCGGACUAUUAAGUCAGUGGUGAAAGCCUGCAGCUUAACUGCAGAACUGCCAUUGAUACUGAUAGUCUUGAGUUUGGUUAAGGUAGGCGGAAUGUGUAAUGUAGCGGUGAAAUGCUUAGAUAUUACACAGAACACCAAUUGCGUAGGCAGCUUACUGAGCCGACACUGACGCUGAGGCACGAAAGCGUGGGGAUCGAACAGGAUUAGAUACCCUGGUAGUCCACGCCGUAAACGAUGAUUACUCGCUGUUGGCGAUACACUGUCAGCGGCUAAGCAAAAGCAAUAAGUAAUCCACCUGGGGAGUACGGCCGCAAGGUUGAAACUCAAAGGAAUUGACGGGGGCCCGCACAAGCGGAGGAACAUGUGGUUUAAUUCGAUGAUACGCGAGGAACCUUACCUGGGCUUAAAUGUAGAGUGCAUUUUCUAGAGAUAGGAAUUCCCUUCGGGGCUUUCUGCAAGGUGCUGCAUGGUUGUCGUCAGCUCGUGCCGUGAGGUGUCGGGUUAAGUCCCAUAACGAGCGCAACCCUUAUCGUUAGUUGCCAGCUGGUAAAGCAGGGGACUCUAGCGAAACUGCCACCGUAAGGUGAGAGGAAGGUGGGGAUGACGUCAAAUCAGCACGGCCCUUAUGUCCAGGGCUACACACGUGUUACAAUGGUCGGUACAGAGGGCAGCUACCUGGUGACAGGAUGCUAAUCUCCAAAACCGGUCUCAGUUCGGAUCGAAGUCUGCAACUCGACUUCGUGAAGCUGGAUUCGCUAGUAAUCGCGCAUCAGCCAUGGCGCGGUGAAUACGUUCCCGGGCCUUGUACACACCGCCCGUCAAGCCAUGGAAGCUGGGGGUGCCUGAAGUCCGUAACCGUAAGGAGCGGCCUAGGGUAAAACUAGUGACUGGGGCU
This 1120-nucleotide ribosomal RNA is filed under the name uncultured bacterium. RNAcentral describes it as "bacterial SSU rRNA". It matches the Rfam family "Bacterial small subunit ribosomal RNA", at positions 353 to 1482 of the family's 1533-position model. The record is from RNAcentral.